Molecule: long non-coding RNA, 437 nt
Filed under: Carassius auratus (goldfish)
Lineage: Eukaryota; Metazoa; Chordata; Actinopteri; Cypriniformes; Cyprinidae
Description: lncRNA (ENSCARG00000011877.1)
Source: RNAcentral
GGGCAUUUAGCUUAUUCUUUGGCUGCUGUCUGAUCGUCUGGGUCUUUCUGCUGGAGGUGCAGAGCUCAUUACUGCCUAAACAGAGGAGGAGGAGAAAUCACAUUAAACUUCAAAAGAGCCCAAACCUCACAGGAGUGAACAAAGAGGAGAUGAGAGAAAAGUGGUUUCAUGAGAGUUUCAAGCAAUGAGAAUAUGGUCAGAUAAAGUGCACUGAUUCUCUUGAGGUCUGUGCAUUGCGGUGCAUUUGGACAGUUGUUCAGUGUGAGUUUGCAGGCAUGACAUGAGAUGCCCAAGUGACUGCAAAAGCCAGUGAGGAAACACACCUGUCGAGGACUGGGGCAUGUUAGCGAGGGUGAGUAGUGAUGACAGAGGGUAUGCACUUCUGCUCUUUAUAUGAAGGUUAGCAGCUGGGAAACAUACAUGCAUCCAUAUCAUAA